RNAcentral lists this unclassified non-coding RNA (495 nucleotides) under Drosophila yakuba. Its description in RNAcentral is "GE18400". The record is from RNAcentral. Lineage: Eukaryota; Metazoa; Arthropoda; Insecta; Diptera; Drosophilidae.
CAAGGGAACAGCUAUCCUCAUUCGAUAUCUGACUCUCGGACCAGUCGCUUCGACUUCUAAAUUCUUCUAAAUUCCAAAUUUAUUUUCUCGAGUAUAACUCCACCAAAAAACGCCAAGCAAACUCAACAUGUGCAACGGAUGUGGAUGCUGUGGACCCUCUCCUUGCCCCAGGCGUUACCUUGUGAACAAGGAUAACGCGCCCUGUGUGUGGUGUGCUCCGUGCAAAGCCCACUGCUACAACACUCCGCCAAAAUGCUGUUGCUAGUUUCUCUAUUUGGGAGCUACCUACUCUGAUCCUAAAUCCUUUCCACUUACAUCGCGUGUGGCUUCUAAGCGGCUCUGUGACUACGGACGACCCACGUAAACGGCGGAACUGAAACUGAGAGCCGUUGGUCAUGUUGUGUAACGCGUAUUGGUUGGAAACUCGAUCGGAUGCAGAUUUCAUCACGAUGCAGACUUUUAGGCUUUAAAUUUUAAUAAAUAUAAGAAAUCGAA